This 253-nucleotide ribosomal RNA is filed under the name uncultured prokaryote. RNAcentral describes it as "partial 16S ribosomal RNA". It matches the Rfam family "Bacterial small subunit ribosomal RNA", at positions 524 to 776 of the family's 1533-position model. The record is from RNAcentral.
UACGAAGGUGGCAAGCGUUACUCGGAAUUACUAGGCGUAAAGGGCAGGUAGGUGGUUUGGUAAGUCUGUUGUGAAAGCUCCUGGCUUAACCGGGAGAGGCCAACGGAAACUACCAGGCUUGAGUGUGGGAGAGGAUACUGGAAUUCCCGGUGUAGCGGUGAAAUGCGCAGAGUUCGGGAGGAACACCAAUGGCGAAAGCAGGUAUCUGGACCACUACUGACACUAAGCUGCGAAAGCUAGGGGAGCAAACAGG